UGUUGUCAGUUACUAACAGGUUUCGCUGAGGACUCUGACAAGACUGCCAUCGUAAGAUGUGAGGAAGGUGGGGAUGACGUCAAAUCAGCACGGCCCUUACGCCCGGGGCUACACACGUGUUACAAUGGGGGGUACAGAGGGCCGCUACCACGCAAGUGGAUGCCAAUCCCCAAAACCUCUCUCAGUUCGGACUGGAGUCUGCAACCCGACUCCACGAAGCUGGAUUCGCUAGUAAUCGCGCAUCAGCCACGGCGCGGUGAAUACGUUC
RNAcentral lists this ribosomal RNA (268 nucleotides) under uncultured Cytophagales bacterium. RNAcentral's name for it is "partial 16S small subunit ribosomal RNA". It matches the Rfam family "Bacterial small subunit ribosomal RNA", at positions 1106 to 1373 of the family's 1533-position model. The record is from RNAcentral. Lineage: Bacteria; Pseudomonadati; Bacteroidota; Sphingobacteriia; Sphingobacteriales.